CACGUAGGGGACGAGCGUUGUCCGGAUUCAUUGGGCGUAAAGCGCGCGUAGGCGGCUCGGAAAGUCGGUCGUGAAAUGCCGGGGCUCAACCCCGGGACUGCGUCCGAUACUUCCGGGCUGGAGGUAGGUAGGGGAGAUCGGAAUUCCUGGUGUAGCGGUGAAAUGCGCAGAUAUCAGGAGGAACACCGAUGGCGAAGGCAGGUCUCUGGGCCACUACUGACGCUGAGAAGCGAAAGCAUGGGGAGCGAACAGG
Molecule: ribosomal RNA, 253 nt
Filed under: uncultured bacterium
Lineage: Bacteria
Description: partial 16S ribosomal RNA
Rfam family: Bacterial small subunit ribosomal RNA
Source: RNAcentral